GUCAGGUGACGCGCAGCACCUGUUGACUACUUAUAUCAAAGCAGGCACAUGGUUUUCUACACCUCAACAAGCCAAGAGAGGCUGGCAAUGGCAGGGACUGAAGUACAGUAGAAGCUAUAACUGGCAAGACCAUAUAGAGCAUGAUGAUACUGUAUGUUGCUCAUGAUAAUAAUGGCCAGAGAACUCACCGUGGACUGAAAGUACUCGGGUGAGAGUCCUUCCAACUCCAGGAUACGAUCCUCCAGCUUCUUCAGUCUCUGGUAGACGCUCAAUGGGACAGGGCCCGCUGACGAAUAAAACACUUGUUGAACA
Long non-coding RNA from Xiphias gladius (swordfish), 312 nucleotides. RefSeq lists it as uncharacterized. The transcript has 2 exons. Lineage: Eukaryota; Metazoa; Chordata; Actinopteri; Istiophoriformes; Xiphiidae. The record is from RefSeq and is a predicted model, not a curated record.